GCUCUUAUCGUCUAGC
This 16-nucleotide transfer RNA is filed under the name Eimeria ferrisi. RNAcentral's name for it is "partial tRNA-Glu". Lineage: Eukaryota; Apicomplexa; Conoidasida; Eucoccidiorida; Eimeriidae. The record is from RNAcentral.